GAAACGGUAGCUAAUACCGCAUAACGUCGCAAGACCAAAGAGGGGGACCCUCGGGCCUCUUGCCAUCGGAUGUGCCCAGAUGGGAUUAGCUUGUUGGUGGGGUAACGGCUCACCAAGGCGACGAUCCCUAGCUGGUCUGAGAGGAUGACCAGCCACACUGGAACUGAGACACGGUCCAGACUCCUACGGGAGGCAGCAGUGGGGAAUAUUGCACAAUGGGCGCAAGCCUGAUGCAGCCAUGCCGCGUGUAUGAAGAAGGCCUUCGGGUUGUAAAGUACUUUCAGCGGGGAGGAAGGGAGUAAAGUUAAUACCUUUGCUCAUUGACGUUACCCGCAGAAGAAGCACCGGCUAACUCCGUGCCAGCAGCCGCGGUAAUACGGAGGGUGCAAGCGUUAAUCGGAAUUACUGGGCGUAAAGCGCACGCAGGCGGUUUGUUAAGUCAGAUGUGAAAUCCCCGGGCUCAACCUGGGAACUGCAUCUGAUACUGGCAAGCUUGAGUCUCGUAGAGGGGGGUAGAAUUCCAGGUGUAGCGGUGAAAUGCGUAGAGAUCUGGAGGAAUACCGGUGGCGAAGGCGGCCCCCUGGACGAAGACUGA
RNAcentral lists this ribosomal RNA (595 nucleotides) under uncultured Pseudomonadota bacterium. RNAcentral's name for it is "bacterial SSU rRNA". It matches the Rfam family "Bacterial small subunit ribosomal RNA", at positions 153 to 743 of the family's 1533-position model. Lineage: Bacteria; Pseudomonadati; Pseudomonadota. The record is from RNAcentral.